GCUCCGUUGGUGAACCAGCGGAGGGAUCAUUAUCGAGUUUUUCAACUCCCAAACCCCUGUGAACUUAUACCUUUACUGUUGCUUCGGCGGGUUAACGCCCCGGAAGGCCCAAAAAGCCGCCGGAACCAGGCGCCCGCCGGGGGACCCAAACUCUUGUAUUUCUUACUUUGCAUGUCUGAGUGGAAUCAUAAACAAAUGAAUCAAAACUUUCAACAACGGAUCUCUUGGUUCUG
RNAcentral lists this unclassified non-coding RNA (233 nucleotides) under plant metagenome. RNAcentral's name for it is "partial contains small subunit ribosomal RNA, internal transcribed spacer 1, and 5.8S ribosomal RNA". The record is from RNAcentral.